UUGAGUUGUUAAUUUUUACACUAUAUUACACUUUAGUUCGUAAUUUUGAGAAAUAAAUUAUUUAGUUCAUUUAAUUUUAAUAUAUAAAAAAAUUUAAUUUCAGUAAUUUUAAUGUUUACAACAAUUUCAUCUAUUGACAGAAGAACUAAAUUUUUCAAUAUAUUAAAAUUAGAUAGACUAAAGCAUGAUAUAGUGCGAAAUCUAGGGACUAAAUAAUCAAUUUUUCAAAAUCUAGGGAUUAAAGUGUAAUAUAGUUCAAAACUCUGAGACCAAAUUGUAAAUUUCCCUUUAUUAAUUGUUUCCUAGCUUUAUAUUUCUCAACUUGUUAUGUCAGAUUUUGAAUGUGAUGGUUCUGUUUUUGUAUGAAUUGAACACAUGACAGAUCCAUGCCAAAUGAAUAUUGUAGGAUAUGCAUGGAAUUCCUGUUUUCUUCAUUUUAUUUUUCAUCAAACUGCAAACAUGGAUUGCAAAUCUUACAAAAGUUGGCUUCUUUUGCUUUACCUUCUCUGUCUCUCACUAUCUAACUUCAAUGAAGAGCAAGUAAUGUUCUAUUUGAUUUCAUAAGCUGAAACAUAUGCUUUAGCUUUUACAUGUAACUAGAAGCCAAAGUUACUUGAUGUUCUCUACCAAGUGCUUG
Molecule: unclassified non-coding RNA, 637 nt
Filed under: Hevea brasiliensis (rubber tree)
Lineage: Eukaryota; Viridiplantae; Streptophyta; Magnoliopsida; Malpighiales; Euphorbiaceae
Source: RNAcentral